UGGUACAGAAAAUGUUUUCACAGGGC
Molecule: non-coding RNA, 26 nt
Filed under: Homo sapiens (human)
Lineage: Eukaryota; Metazoa; Chordata; Mammalia; Primates; Hominidae
Source: RNAcentral